Molecule: ribosomal RNA, 292 nt
Filed under: uncultured bacterium
Lineage: Bacteria
Description: partial 16S ribosomal RNA
Rfam family: Bacterial small subunit ribosomal RNA
Source: RNAcentral
GUGUCAGCAGCCGCGGUAAUACGAAGGGUGCUAGCGUUGUUCGGAAUUACUGGGCGUAAAGCGUAGGUAGGCGGUUUACCAAGUCAGGGGUGAAAUCCCGAGGCUCAACCUCGGAAUUGCCUUUGAAACUGGUAGGCUGGAGAAUGUUAGAGGCAAGUGGAAUUCCUAGUGUAGUAGUGAAAUCCGUAGAUAUUAGGAGGAACAUCAAUGGCGAAGGCAGCUUGCUGGGACAUUACUGACGCUGAGCUACGAAAGCGUGGGGAGCAAACAGGAUUAGAUACCCUGGUAGUCC